CUGACAACAACUACAGGAAAUUCAAAGCCAUCACUUCAUUUUUUUUUCUGGAAUUGUAAUUUUACAGUACAAAGAACUCUAGGAAUAGGAAAGGACAGCAGUUCCACUGGAAACUACUUUAAGCCUAGCCCAAGAAAUGUGUCUGACCUGCUUUCUGGAAGUCAUCCAACCCUGAUCACAAGCAGGAAUUUUUAUGAUCUCAAUGGACAGAACAAGCUGCUGAGCUCUAGCCUGGUAUGAUGUGAUAUUAUCAGUUACUUCCUUAUUUUUGUGGGUUGUUCGAACUCUAUCUAGGUUCCAGUCUCUGGAGAGGAAGUUAAAAAAAUUAGAAACAGUCAUUGUGCGUACAAGUGAAAAUAAACACAAAACUCUCCAGUG
This 378-nucleotide long non-coding RNA is filed under the name Monodelphis domestica (gray short-tailed opossum). Its description in RNAcentral is "lncRNA (ENSMODG00000047469.1)". Lineage: Eukaryota; Metazoa; Chordata; Mammalia; Didelphimorphia; Didelphidae. The record is from RNAcentral.